RNAcentral lists this ribosomal RNA (455 nucleotides) under uncultured eukaryote. Its description in RNAcentral is "partial 18S ribosomal RNA". It matches the Rfam family "Eukaryotic small subunit ribosomal RNA", at positions 136 to 580 of the family's 1831-position model. The record is from RNAcentral.
AAUUAGGAUACCUGUAGGAAUUCUAGAGCUAAUACAUGCAAAAAGACUGAUCGGGGGCAACUCGAGAUGGUCGCGUAUACUAGAUGAGGAACCAAUUUGGGGGGGCAACUCCCAACAGUAGGACGAUACAUAGUAUCAAAGCGAAUCGGGGGUGAAGACCCUCGAUGAUGCGAACGAGUUUCUGCCCUAUCAGCUUUCAAUCGUAGUGUAGUGGACUACGAUGGCGAUAACGGGUACGGGGAAUUAGGGUUCGAUUCCGGAGAGGGAGCCUGAGAAACGGCUCCCACUUCCAAGGAAGGCAGCAGGCGCGUAAAUUAUCCAAUCCCGAUACGGGGGAGAUAGUGACAAGAAAAUAUUGAUGUAGGGCCUUUUAGGUCUUACGAUCGAAAAUGAGAACAAUUUAAAAAAACUUAGCGAAACAAUUGGAGGGCAAGUCUGGUGCCAGCAGCCGCGGU